RNAcentral lists this long non-coding RNA (228 nucleotides) under Gallus gallus (chicken). The record is from RNAcentral. Lineage: Eukaryota; Metazoa; Chordata; Aves; Galliformes; Phasianidae.
CUGCAGUGCCGCAUCAAAAAGCGACUAAAAAUGGAAUCCUAGGGCCAUGUGAACAGCAAACUCUGCUCCUCAAAGCCUUGGAAAUGAAGCCCACCAGAAACCAGGCUCAGCUUUGGCCAGGAAGAUUUCAAAGUGAAUCCUGAAUGCCACUGGAAGAUGUAUAUGUGUCCGACAGCAUCCCUUGCUUCCCUGCUAUUCUGAAGCAAUAUCUAGCAGGAAGAAUACCCG